GACGAACGCUGGCGGCGUGCUUAACACAUGCGAGUCGAACGGAAAGGCCCCUUCGGGGGUACUCGAGUGGCGAACGGGUGAGUAACACGUGAGUAACCUGCCCUUGACUUCGGGAUAACUUCAGGAAACUGGGGCUAAUACCGGAUAGGAAUCCUUGCUGCAUGGUGGGGGUUGGAAAGCUUCGGCGGUUUUGGAUGGACUCGCGGCUUAUCAGCUUGUUGGUGGGGUAGUGGCUUACCAAGGCUUUGACGGGUAGCCGGCCUGAGAGGGCGACCGGCCACAUUGGGACUGAGAUACGGCCCAGACUCCUACGGGAGGCAGCAGUGGGGAAUAUUGCACAAUGGGCGGAAGCCUGAUGCAGCAACGCCGCGUGCGGGAUGACGGCCUUCGGGUUGUAAACCGCUUUCAGCAGGGGCGAAGCUUGUGGUGACGGUACCUGCAGAAGAAGCACCGGCUAACUACGUG
This 465-nucleotide ribosomal RNA is filed under the name uncultured bacterium. Its description in RNAcentral is "partial 16S ribosomal RNA". It matches the Rfam family "Bacterial small subunit ribosomal RNA", at positions 28 to 507 of the family's 1533-position model. The record is from RNAcentral.